UACGUAGGGUGCGAGCGUUAAUCGGAAUUACUGGGCGUAAAGCGUAUGUAGGCGGAUCUUUAAGUCAGGGGUGAAAUCCCGAGGCUCAACCUCGGAACUGCCUUUGAUACUGGGGAUCUUGAGUCCGGGAGAGGUUAGUGGAACUGCGAGUGUAGAGGUGAAAUUCGUAGAUAUUCGCAAGAACACCAGUGGCGAAGGCGGCUAACUGGCCCGGUACUGACGCUGAAAUACGAAAGCGUGGGGAGCAAACAGG
This 253-nucleotide ribosomal RNA is filed under the name uncultured bacterium. RNAcentral's name for it is "partial 16S ribosomal RNA". It matches the Rfam family "Bacterial small subunit ribosomal RNA", at positions 524 to 776 of the family's 1533-position model. The record is from RNAcentral.